CCUACGGGUGGCAGCAGUGGGGAAUAUUGGACAAUGGGGGGAACCCUGAUCCAGCCAUGCCGCGUGUGUGAAGAAGGCCCUCGGGUUGUAAAGCACUUUCAGUGAGGAAGAACGCCUGGUGGUUAAUACCCAUCAGGAAAGACAUCACUCACAGAAGAAGCACCGGCUAACUCCGUGCCAGCAGCCGCGGUAAUACGGAGGGUGCGAGCGUUAAUCGGAAUUACUGGGCGUAAAGCGCGCGUAGGUGGCUUGAUAAGCCGGUUGUGAAAGCCCCGGGCUCAACCUGGGAACGGCAUCCGGAACUGGCAAGCUAGAGUGCAGGAGAGGAAGGUAGAAUUCCCGGUGUAGCGGUGAAAUGCGUAGAGAUCGGGAGGAAUACCAGUGGCGAAGGCGGCCUUCUGGACUGACACUGACACUGAGGUGCGAAAGCGUGGGUAGCAAACAGGAUUAGAUACCCUUGUAGUC
Molecule: ribosomal RNA, 465 nt
Filed under: Vreelandella stevensii
Lineage: Bacteria; Pseudomonadati; Pseudomonadota; Gammaproteobacteria; Oceanospirillales; Halomonadaceae
Description: partial 16S ribosomal RNA
Rfam family: Bacterial small subunit ribosomal RNA
Source: RNAcentral